AUUGAACGCUGGCGGCAGGCCUAACACAUGCAAGUCGAACGGUAACAGGAAGAAGCUUGCUUCUUUGCUGACGAGUGGCGGACGGGUGAGGAAUGUCUGGGAAACUGCCUGAUGGAGGGGGAUAACUACUGGAAACGGUAGCUAAUACCGCAUAACGUCGCAAGACCAAAGAGGGGGACCUUCUGGCCUCUUGCCAUCGGAUGUGCCCAGAUGGGAUUAGCUAGGAGGGGGGGUAACGGCUCACCUAGGCGACGAUCCCUAGCUGGUCUGAGAGGAUGACCAGCCACACUGGAACUGAGACACGGUCCAGACUCCUACGGGAGGCAGCAGUGGGGAAUAUUGCACAAUGGGCGCAAGCCUGAUGCAGCCAUGCCGCGUGUAUGAAGAAGGCCUUCGGGUUGUAAAGUACUUUCAGCGGGGAGGAAGGGAGUAAAGUUAAUACCUUUGCUCAUUGACGUUACCCGAAGAAGAAGCACCGGCUAACUCCGUG
This 490-nucleotide ribosomal RNA is filed under the name uncultured bacterium. RNAcentral's name for it is "partial 16S ribosomal RNA". It matches the Rfam family "Bacterial small subunit ribosomal RNA", at positions 30 to 507 of the family's 1533-position model. The record is from RNAcentral.